UUUUAUGGAGAGUUUGAUCCUGGCUCAGAGUGAACGCUGGCGGCGUGCCUAAUACAUGCAAGUCGAACGAUGAAGCUUCUAGCUUGCUAGAGUGCUGAUUAGUGGCGCACGGGUGAGUAACGCAUAGGUCAUGUGCCUCUUAGUUUGGGAUAGCCAUUGGAAACGAUGAUUAAUACCAGAUACUCCCUACGGGGGAAAGAUUUAUCGCUAAGAGAUCAGCCUAUGUCCUAUCAGCUUGUUGGUAAGGUAAUGGCUUACCAAGGCUAUGACGGGUAUCCGGCCUGAGAGGGUGAACGGACACACUGGAACUGAGACACGGUCCAGACUCCUACGGGAGGCAGCAGUAGGGAAUAUUGCUCAAUGGGGGAAACCCUGAAGCAGCAACGCCGCGUGGAGGAUGAAGGUUUUAGGAUUGUAAACUCCUUUUGUUAGAGAAGAUAAUGACGGUAUCUAACGAAUAAGCACCGGCUAACUCCGUGCCAGCAGCCGCGGUAAUACGGAGGGUGCAAGCGUUACUCGGAAUCACUGGGCGUAAAGAGCGCGUAGGCGGGAUAGUCAGUCAGGUGUGAAAUCCUAUGGCUUAACCAUAGAACUGCAUUUGAAACUACUAUUCUAGAGUGUGGGAGAGGUAGGUGGAAUUCUUGGUGUAGGGGUAAAAUCCGUAGAGAUCAAGAGGAAUACUCAUUGCGAAGGCGACCUGCUGGAACAUUACUGACGCUGAUUGCGCGAAAGCGUGGGGAGCAAACAGGAUUAGAUACCCUGGUAGUCCACGCCCUAAACGAUGGAUGCUAGUUGUUGGAGGGCUUAGUCUCUCCAGUAAUGCAGCUAACGCAUUAAGCAUCCCGCCUGGGGAGUACGGUCGCAAGAUUAAAACUCAAAGGAAUAGACGGGGACCCGCACAAGCGGUGGAGCAUGUGGUUUAAUUCGAGGAUACACGAAGAACCUUACCUAGGCUUGACAUUGAGAGAAUCCGCUAGAAAUAGUGGAGUGUCUGGCUUGCCAGACCUUGAAAACAGGUGCUGCACGGCUGUCGUCAGCUCGUGUCGUGAGAUGUUGGGUUAAGUCCCGCAACGAGCGCAACCCCCUUUCUUAGUUGCUAACAGGUCAUGCUGAGAACUCUAAGGAUACUGCCUCCGUAAGGAGGAGGAAGGUGGGGACGACGUCAAGUCAUCAUGGCCCUUACGCCUAGGGCUACACACGUGCUACAAUGGGGUGCACAAAGAGAAGCAAUACUGCGAAGUGGAGCCAAUCUUCAAAACAUCUCUCAGUUCGGAUUGUAGGCUGCAACUCGCCUGCAUGAAGCUGGAAUCGCUAGUAAUCGCAAAUCAGCCAUGUUGCGGUGAAUACGUUCCCGGGUCUUGUACUCACCGCCCGUCACACCAUGGGAGUUGUGUUUGCCUUAAGUCAGGAUGCUAAACUAGCUACUGCCCACGGCACACACAGCGACUGGGGUGAAGUCGUAACAAGGUAACCGUAGGUGAACCUGCGGUUGGAUCACCUCCUUUCUAGA
This 1510-nucleotide ribosomal RNA is filed under the name Helicobacter pylori. Its description in RNAcentral is "bacterial SSU rRNA". It matches the Rfam family "Bacterial small subunit ribosomal RNA". Lineage: Bacteria; Pseudomonadati; Campylobacterota; Epsilonproteobacteria; Campylobacterales; Helicobacteraceae. The record is from RNAcentral.